Non-coding RNA from Poecilia formosa (Amazon molly), 74 nucleotides. Lineage: Eukaryota; Metazoa; Chordata; Actinopteri; Cyprinodontiformes; Poeciliidae. The record is from Rfam.
GUUUCUGUAGUGUAGUGGUUAUCAUGUUUGCUUCACAUGCAAAAGGUCUCUGGUUUGAAACCAGACAGGAAACA